RNAcentral lists this ribosomal RNA (253 nucleotides) under uncultured Eubacteriales bacterium. Its description in RNAcentral is "uncultured Clostridiales bacterium partial 16S ribosomal RNA". It matches the Rfam family "Bacterial small subunit ribosomal RNA", at positions 524 to 776 of the family's 1533-position model. The record is from RNAcentral. Lineage: Bacteria; Bacillati; Bacillota; Clostridia; Eubacteriales.
UACGUAGGGGGCAAGCGUUAUCCGGAUUUACUGGGUGUAAAGGGAGCGUAGACGGCACUGCAAGUCUGGAGUGAAAGCCCGGGGCUCAACCGCGGGACUGCAUUGGAAACUGCGGGACUGGAGUGUCGGAGGGGUAAGCGGAAUUCCUGGUGUAGCGGUGAAAUGCGUAGAUAUCAGGAGGAACACCGGUGGCGAAGGCGGCUUACUGGACGAUGACUGACGCUGAGGCUCGAAAGCGUGGGGAGCAAACAGG